Non-coding RNA from Puma concolor (puma), 266 nucleotides. NCBI's taxonomy places the organism in Eukaryota, Metazoa, Chordata, Mammalia, Carnivora, Felidae. The record is from RefSeq and is a predicted model, not a curated record.
ACAUUAAAAAAAAGAAAAAAGCCCACCUAAUGCCGUAACAGGAGUGUGAAAAAUAAAGAUAGCAAUUUGAAUCGGAUAGGACGGACGUCUCCAGCAUGGCCAUCGUGGAAGGAAAAGUGACCCCGUCGUUUCCUGCGCCUGCGACUUGUCACUCUGCCCUCGGUGGCCUCGCGCUCAGGCCACCAGACCGAAGCAAAGGUCCCACCGAAGGAGGCUCGGCCAGCAGUUCUGCCCAGCUCACUCGUGAAAUGCUUCUGGAUCAUCAG